Molecule: long non-coding RNA, 3699 nt
Organism: Brassica rapa (field mustard)
Lineage: Eukaryota; Viridiplantae; Streptophyta; Magnoliopsida; Brassicales; Brassicaceae
Source: RefSeq, a predicted model, not a curated record
CUGUCGAACUAUGAAACUGGGAAGUUUAUAAAGGUAUACACCGGACAUACCAACAAAGUAUUCUGCAUCACAUCCGCGUUUUCUGUGACCAACGGCAAGUACAUUGUGACAGGAUCUGAAGACAACUGUGUGUAUCUGUGGGAUCUUCAGCAUAAAACUAUAGUCCAGAGACUACAAGGCCACACAGACGCCUUGGUCUCUGUGAGUUGCCAUCAAGAUAUGGAAACAGGAUACUUAGAACAUGAGUUUGAAUACAAAACGGAAAUUUGUAAUUUGCUUCGUGAGAUUGAUUAUACACGUUGAAGUGUGAUUGCGAUAUCUGCAUGGUGGUCAAGAUAUAUACAUCACACAUGAAAGCAUGCUAAUGAGAUAUUGUUAUUAAUAUCCACACUUUCAAUGUUAUUUAUCAAACUUACAAUACUGAAUAAAUAUGAAGUCCCCCUGGGAUUAGUGAAUUAAAAAAACUCUGUAAUUUCUCUCUCAGAUUCAACAUUCAACAUUCAACAGUAAGGAGGAGGGUAACAUCAAGAAUGAGAUACGCAACUUGUUACGCUCAAUCCUUUACCUCCUCUACAGAGCAGUCACACAAUAUUAGAGUCUCGAGCUGACUGUCUUUGCAAGUAUGCACCAUCGCAAGUUUCCUUCAUGACAAACUUUCUAAUAGAGACCAAUGUGACAUAUAAUUUCAUUUGUACUAUUAGACCAAACAAAAACUAACCACCAAAAACUUCCAUAAAUUCUGGAUGUGCUAGACAGAUCCAUAUACUUAAGUUUACCAAAGCCCUGUAAUACAUUUCCACUGUUAUUAUUUUUGGUUUUGUAAAGCACAUAUAGUAGUACCAAAUAAAGAGAGAAAGGUAUACGAAAAUAAAACUUAAGGAGCCAUACCUUAACAAUAAUUUGGGCCAUUGCAUCACCUAGGUUAAGUUAAGAUGGGUCAGUUGGUCACGUACGUUUCGAUGGUUGAAUAUGUUAUAACGCCUAACCCACCAAUCAUAUACAAGUAAAGGAAAAAAAAAACUGGAAGUACAACAAAAGUAAAGAACCAUAGGUGGAAAACCUUUACCUCCAAAAGAAGUUUCUAAGAAUAGAUGCUCUACCAAGUCGUGAGUAACUCUAGCACCAGAUCUAAUCAAUCAUAGUUGCCAAGAAAGAAGAAGAAGCUAUGGCAUAUCCUAACGUAUUUAGUAGAAGACUGAUAUUGACACACAAAAAAUGAGGUAGGUAAAUUGUUCUCUAAUAUUUGAAAGCAUACAUUUUUUAAGUUUAAAAUUGUGCAGAGGAUUUUUUUUAACGUUUUUUUGUGAUCUUAAAAUUCACUCAGAAAUAGAGUACACGUUUAUGAUAUGUAUUACAGUAUUAGAAGUAAUUUAAAAGAAGAAAGUUUGGACUACUAUGAACAAUGGAAAAUGUAUGUCUUAUUAAUAGGAAGGUCUAGAUCCCCGAUCAACACAAGGGUGUCUAAGAACAAAAUAAUAUGAGUGUAUUGAGACUGCAGUUUAGGUACGAAGAGAAUGGCCUCCCUCUGCUUGGCAUAUCCUACUCCUUUUAUAGGUCUUUAGAGGUGAAUCAUAAUGGUGACGUGAUUUCCAGCGUGGAUCAAGCGUCUUUAAAGUGAUUUUUAAUGUCUUUGAUUCUUGUAUGUUUUUAUUUGAUUCACCUAAUUCGCCGAGUUCUUUUUUGGCCUUUGAUAAUACUUUUUGGAUUUUAUUAUGCUUGGGCUGAUAUCUUGGAUUGUGUCUAGAGCGGGAUGAGAUCCGGCUCCAACACUUUUUUUUUUUUUUUUUUUUUGGUUUUUGAACUAAUUAGGACAAAUUAGGUAUUUUUAUAUUUGAGUUGACUUUCCAAAAAAACAGAGAUAGUAUAUAUUUCAUAUACAUAACAACUGACAAAAUUUAAUUUAUAACCAUUAUAAUUGAUUGGCUAUGAUAUUUGUACACAAAAAGUUGUUAUGUAUAUGUAUACAAUUAAUACAUAAAAAUAGUGAGAUAUCAAUAAUGAAAAAAAAAAGUGUACAUAAAGAAAGCUUGUAUUUGUGUACAACACGAACGGAUUUUGAUGUUGUUUGGUAGUUGUACACACAAAAAAAUUGUAAAAGUGUACACAAAAAGUUGUUAGAAUAUGACCAAAUAUAUUUGAUGUUUUAAAUAUGAUAUUGUAUGAAGAACUCUUGUAUGAAAGCAUGGUACAAUUUGGUUGAAUUUAAGAGUUUAAAGAACAUAUGUAACUGUACACAUGUAGUUUAAAGAACAUUUGUAAAUGGAUACAUAUUCAGUUUGAAGUUAAUGUACACAUGUACACUUUGAAGUUAAUGUACUAUUAUCUCCAAUAUCCUCUUUGUCUCCACCAACCAACAUUAAUUGUUUCUUAUAACAAAAAUACUAAUAUAUUUGAAAAAGAAUCCAAAAACACAGAAGUUGAUUCUGAUAUGUAAUAAAGCAAACUAGGCAAAAUAUAAGAAAAUAAGGCUCCAUGGUGUAAUACAUUAUACACAUAUGAUGAUUGAUAAUUUGAUAGUAUAUAGUAUUAUAUGUCAACAAAAUGAAGAACAACAAGUUGAUGAACAAAACACAAAAUUCAAUUUAGUUUGCAUUAUAUGAUUCUAGAAGAUCCACACGACAAAAAUAUGAGAUUGGUGGUCUUGAUAAUAUAUCUACCAUAUCGGAUUACUCAACUUACCAGCACCAUCAUCAACAUCAUCACCAUUAUCAUUGUCAUCUUCAUUUUUACUGUACGUGUGUAUGAUAAAGUAUGAUAGCGUACUUGUGUACAAUAUAUAUGGAUAUGUACAUAUGUACGGUAAAUAUGAUAGUAUAUAUAGUAAAACAACCAGAAAUUAAUCAAGUUAACACUUAUCAUGAAGCUAGCAUGAAAACACAUGGACAGAUCAUGUGUACGGUAAAUAUGAUAGUGUACACAUGUAUAGUUUGAAUAUAAUGUACACACGACUUUUCUUUUCUCCAUUAAUAUUGCAAAAUUACGAAAAUAACCUCAUCUUCUUUCUUAGUCAUUGUCGACCCGAAACUCUAAUUUUCGCCUAUCUCGCCUAAUUUCCAGGAUUCUUUACAUUCUCAACUUGUUUUUCAUGUAUUUUUACCCAUAUGUGAUAUCUUUAUAUCCUAAUUCAUGACUUUAAUCUUUAAAAUUUGAACAAAAGUGAUUUUUUUUUGUUUCUGAUUUGUUGAACGAUUUGUUCCAUAAAAAUAUAGCUUGAUAUAUCUCAAAAGAUAGAUUGAAAAACAAAGACACUGAUUAUAAACAUAUUUUCUUUAUAAAAGAUUCUGAAAAAAUAACAUUCAAUUUACAAAAGAAAUAAGAAACUCAAGAGGAGGAAACAAAGAAGAUGAUACAUGGGACCCACUUCUUUUGUUUGCUAGGAAGAACCGUGAAAAAAGAUUAGUUUUGAAAUAUGAAAAGAUUAAGAGAGAGAAGAAGUGGGACCUAUUUAGUUAUAAUUUAUUUUGGUUUCAACUAUUAAGCGUAACAAAAAAGAAAAAAGUUAGUAGAAACUGCCUUGGUAGUAUAAACUGUUUCAUUGCGUGAUAAAAAAACUUAAAACUGUCCUAUAGUGUAAUUGUUUUUUGAUUGAACUUGUUUUGAAAAAUCCCAUGUGGUUUAAUAUUAUACUUAGAUUUUGACUCGCACGCCCGUGAUAGUGUAUUUUUUUUUAAAUAUGAUGCUAUUUGAUUUUUUAUGUCA